This 460-nucleotide ribosomal RNA is filed under the name uncultured bacterium. RNAcentral describes it as "partial 16S ribosomal RNA". It matches the Rfam family "Bacterial small subunit ribosomal RNA", at positions 338 to 795 of the family's 1533-position model. The record is from RNAcentral.
CCUACGGGGGGCUGCAGUGAGGAAUAUUGGUCAAUGGCCGGAAGGCUGAACCAGCCAUGCCGCGUGAAGGUCAGUGCCCUAUGGGCGUUAAACUUCUUUUGUGCGGGAGCAAUAAUGGUCACGUGUGGCCAGACGAGAGUACCGUACGAAUAAGAAUCGGCUAACUCCGUGCCAGCAGCCGCGGUAAUACGGGGGAUGCAAGCGUUAUCCCGAUUUAUUGGGUUUAAAGGGUGCGUAGGCUGUGAGGUAAGUCAGCUGGGAAAUGCCCCCGCUCAACGGGGUGAAGUGCCAUUGAUACUGCCUUGCUGGAAUGCGGAUGCCGUGGGAGGAAUGUGUGGUGUAGCGGUGAAAUGCAUAGAUAUCACACAGAACACCGAUUGCGAAGGCAUCUCACGAAACCGCGAUUGACGCUGAUGCACGAAAGCGUGGGUAUCAAACAGGAUUAGAUACCCCAGUAGUC